RNAcentral lists this ribosomal RNA (127 nucleotides) under uncultured bacterium. RNAcentral describes it as "partial 16S ribosomal RNA". The record is from RNAcentral.
CGUAACCAACCGACCCCGGUCCCGUACCAACCCAACCUAGGGUAGGGUAGGGGUUUCGGUUACCACGAAGACAGGUUGCCUAACCGCAAGGAGGGCGCCUACCACGGUGAGAUUCAUGACUGGGGUG